AUUGAACGCUGGCGGCAGGCCUAACACAUGCAAGUCGAACGAGUGGCGGACGGGUGAGUAAUGUCUGGGAAACUGCCUGAUGUAGGGGGCUAACUACUGGAAACGGUAGAUAAUACCGCAUACCAUCGGAUGUGCCCAGAUGGGAUUAGCUUGUUGGUGGGGUAACGGCUCACCAAGGCGACGAUCCCUAGCUGGUCUGAGAGGAUGACCAGCCAAACUGGAACUGAGACACGGUCCAGACUCCUACGGGAGGCAGCAGUGGGGAAUAUUGCACAAUGGGCGCAAGCCUGAUGCAGCCAUGCCGCGUGUAGGAAGAAGGCCUUCGGGUUGUAAAGUACUGUCGGCGGGGAGGCGUUACCCGCAGAGGAAGCACCGGCUAACUCCGUGCCAGCCGCCGCGGUAAUAC
Molecule: ribosomal RNA, 406 nt
Filed under: uncultured bacterium
Lineage: Bacteria
Description: partial 16S ribosomal RNA
Rfam family: Bacterial small subunit ribosomal RNA
Source: RNAcentral